AGCUACACUGCUAUUUCUACUCACACUAGCUCAAGGAGAGCUAGCAUGAGUAUCUGUACAUGAACCUGGAAAUCACACCCCUAUCUUGAAGUGCAGACACAGCCCUAGUGGGGCCAGCAGUGGUUGAACCAAGAGUGAAUUGAACCAAACCUUUGAUCCAACUUUGAACCAAGACUCUGAGGUGUAUGUGGAGACAAUGCUGUCCGAGCUCAUCUUCAUGGGGAGACAUCUUGGUCCUCAGGAGCAUUUUC
This is a long non-coding RNA of Malaclemys terrapin pileata, 251 nucleotides long. RefSeq lists it as uncharacterized. The transcript is spliced from 3 exons. The record is from RefSeq and is a predicted model, not a curated record. Lineage: Eukaryota; Metazoa; Chordata; Testudines; Emydidae.